RNAcentral lists this ribosomal RNA (578 nucleotides) under Salmonella enterica. RNAcentral describes it as "partial 23S ribosomal RNA". It matches the Rfam family "Bacterial large subunit ribosomal RNA", at positions 663 to 1238 of the family's 2925-position model. The record is from RNAcentral. Lineage: Bacteria; Pseudomonadati; Pseudomonadota; Gammaproteobacteria; Enterobacterales; Enterobacteriaceae.
GAGCCGGAGGGAAACCGAGUCUUAAUUGGGCGUUAAGUUGCAGGGUAUAGACCCGAAACCCGGUGAUCUAGCCAUGGGCAGGUUGAAGGUUGGGUAACACUAACUGGAGGACCGAACCGACUAAUGUUGAAAAAUUAGCGGAUGACCUGUGGCUGGGGGUGAAAGGCCAAUCAAACCGGGAGAUAGCUGGUUCUCCCCGAAAGCUAUUUAGGUAGCGCCUCGUGAAUUCAUCUCCGGGGGUAGAGCACUGUUUCGGCUAGGGGGCCAUCCCGGCUUACCAACCCGAUGCAAACUGCGAAUACCGGAGAAUGUUAUCACGGGAGACACACGGCGGGUGCUAACGUCCGUCGUGAAGAGGGAAACAACCCAGACCGCCAGCUAAGGUCCCAAAGUCAUGGUUAAGUGGGAAACGAUGUGGGAAGGCCCAGACAGCCAGGAUGUUGGCUUAGAAGCAGCCAUCAUUUAAAGAAAGCGUAAUAGCUCACUGGUCGAGUCGGCCUGCGCGGAAGAUGUAACGGGGCUAAACCAUGCACCGAAGCUGCGGCAGCGACGCUUAUGCGUUGUUGGGUAGGGGAGCG